AUGCCUAACACAUGCAAGUCGAACGUGAUCCAGGCUUCGGUCUGGUGAAAGUGGCAGACGGGUGAGUAACGCGUGGGAACCUGCCCUGUGGUAGGGAAUAGCCGCGGGAAACUGCGGCUAAUACCCUAUGUGUCCUGAGGGACAAAGAUUUAUCGCCAUAGGAGGGGCCCGCGUCGGAUUAGGUAGUUGGUGGGGUAACGGCCUACCAAGCCAUCGAUCCGUAGCUGGUCUGAGAGGAUGAUCAGCCACACUGGGACUGAGAUACGGCCCAG
Molecule: ribosomal RNA, 272 nt
Filed under: uncultured bacterium
Lineage: Bacteria
Description: partial 16S ribosomal RNA
Rfam family: Bacterial small subunit ribosomal RNA
Source: RNAcentral